AGAGCGAACGCUGGCGGCAGGCCUAACACAUGCAAGUCGAGCGCGUGUAGCAAUACACGAGCGGCAGACGGGAGAGUAACACGUGGGAACGCGCCCUUCGGUUCGGAAUAACUCAGGGAAACUUGAGCUAAUACCGGAUACGCCCUUACGGGGAAAGAUUUAUUGCCGAAGGAACGGCCCGCGUCCGAUUAGCUAGUUGGUGAGGUAACGGCUCACCAAGGCGACGAUCGGUAGCUGGUCUGAGAGGAUGACCAGCCUCACUGGGACUGAGACACGGCCCAGACUCCUACGGGAGGCAGCAGUGGGGAAUAUUGGACAAUGGGCGCAAGCCUGAUCCAGCCAUGCCGCGUGGAUGAUGAAGGCCUUAGGGUUGUAAAGUCCUUUUAACGGGAAGAUAAUGACGGUACCGUAGAAUAAGCCCGGCUAACUUCGCGCCAGCAGCCGC
RNAcentral lists this ribosomal RNA (445 nucleotides) under uncultured bacterium. Its description in RNAcentral is "SSU rRNA". It matches the Rfam family "Bacterial small subunit ribosomal RNA", at positions 26 to 518 of the family's 1533-position model. The record is from RNAcentral.